CCUACGGGUGGCUGCAGUGGGGAAUAUUGGACAAUGGGCGAAAGCCUGAUCCAGCCAUGCCGCGUGUGUGAAGAAGGCCUUCGGGUUGUAAAGCACUUUCAGUGGGGAAGAAAGUCUUGGGGCUAAUACCCUCGAGGAAGGACAUCACCCACAGAAGAAGCACCGGCUAACUCCGUGCCAGCAGCCGCGGUAAUACGGAGGGUGCGAGCGUUAAUCGGAAUUACUGGGCGUAAAGCGCGCGUAGGCGGUCUGAUAAGCCGGUUGUGAAAGCCCCGGGCUCAACCUGGGAACGGCAUCCGGAACUGUCAGGCUAGAGUGCAGGAGAGGAAGGUAGAAUUCCCGGUGUAGCGGUGAAAUGCGUAGAGAUCGGGAGGAAUACCAGUGGCGAAGGCGGCCUUCUGGACUGACACUGACGCUGAGGUGCGAAAGCGUGGGUAGCAAACAGGAUUAGAUACCCCGGUAGUC
This 465-nucleotide ribosomal RNA is filed under the name Vreelandella stevensii. Its description in RNAcentral is "partial 16S ribosomal RNA". It matches the Rfam family "Bacterial small subunit ribosomal RNA", at positions 338 to 795 of the family's 1533-position model. Lineage: Bacteria; Pseudomonadati; Pseudomonadota; Gammaproteobacteria; Oceanospirillales; Halomonadaceae. The record is from RNAcentral.